Xiphophorus hellerii (green swordtail) is the source of this 815-nucleotide long non-coding RNA. RefSeq lists it as uncharacterized. The record is from RefSeq and is a predicted model, not a curated record. Lineage: Eukaryota; Metazoa; Chordata; Actinopteri; Cyprinodontiformes; Poeciliidae. The transcript is spliced from 2 exons.
AACCAUGCAAUUACAGAGAGGAUUCUGGCACUGGUUAAUCUUUCUUUGACAAUGUAGGUACAACAGGCACUUUAUACCCAUGGGUUUUUUUUUGUUUUGUUUUUUUUUUACAACUGUUGUAACAAAUAUUACCAGCAUGAACAUAAAUUAACAUUACCAAUUUAUCUUCAAAUUGUCCAGAAAACAGUUGCUUUCAAGGAACUGGAAGGUUUUAAACAUCUGCAAAUUGUUUUCUUUCGUAAAAUAAUUUCACAUAGAAAACAGUCCGAUAUCCAACCCAAGACAGUAAUUGAGCCCAGAAGAGGUAAAAUACUAAAAUUAAAUAUUAGUUUGAAAUAUCUACAAUUUAGUGGCUUGAACCUAAAACAGUACUGCUCCCUUUCUUCAAACUCACAUCUUCCAGUCAUAUUUUUAAGAUUGUUUAGAAAUGUUUUAAAAUAGCCCUUUAAAGGGUAAACCAGCAAAAAAAAAAAAAAGUAUCAAGUAUCAACAUAAAUCUGCCUUGUCCUCCAUCUGAACUGUGGGUCCUCAAAAACAAUUAACAGAGUCAUUAACGAGCUGUUCACGACCACAGAUUAAGCAACACCACAAUAAAAAAAAAAAAAAACAUUUUAAAAUGAAUGUUGGCAUCGGUUUUAGUGUAAAUGCAAGUAGAGUUUUUCUUUUCUUUUAAAGACACUGUGAUAUCAGCCCUCAUGUUUAACCACAGUGCUACAGAAAAAAAGAAGAAGAAAGAAUUGAAAUAUGGUCCCAUAAGGAAUGAGCAGUCCAACACCGAGUCCAAAACCAAUUGGGUGAAAAAAAAAAAAAAAAAG